This 261-nucleotide ribosomal RNA is filed under the name uncultured prokaryote. RNAcentral's name for it is "partial 16S ribosomal RNA". It matches the Rfam family "Bacterial small subunit ribosomal RNA", at positions 524 to 784 of the family's 1533-position model. The record is from RNAcentral.
UACGGAGGAUCCGAGCGUUAUCCGGAUUUAUUGGGCGUAAAGGGAGCGCAGGCGGUGACUUAAGUCUGAUGUGAAAGCCCACGGCUCAACCGUGGAAGGUCAUUGGAAACUGGGUCACUUGAAUAUAGAAGAGGAAAGUGGAAUUCCAUGUGUAGCGGUGAAAUGCGUAGAGAUAUGGAGGAACACCAGUGGCGAAGGCGACUUGCUGGGCAGCAACUGACGCUGAGGCGCGAAGGCCAGGGGAGCAAACGGGAUUAGAUA